RNAcentral lists this transfer RNA (77 nucleotides) under Mariprofundus sp. EBB-1. Its description in RNAcentral is "tRNA-Ile". It matches the Rfam family "tRNA". Rfam says of the family: Transfer RNA (tRNA) molecules are approximately 80 nucleotides in length. The record is from RNAcentral. Lineage: Bacteria; Pseudomonadati; Pseudomonadota; Candidatius Mariprofundia; Mariprofundales; Mariprofundaceae.
GGGCUCGUAGCUCAGUUGGUUAGAGCGCACGCCUGAUAAGCGUGAGGUCGGUGGUUCGAAUCCACCCGAGCCCACCA